CCGUAGCGAAAGCGAGUCUGAAUAGGGCGUUUAGUAUUUGGUCGUAGACCCGAAACCAGGUGAUCUACCCUUGGUCAGGUUGAAGUUCAGGUAACACUGAAUGGAGGACCGAACCGACUUACGUUGAAAAGUGAGCGGAUGAACUGAGGGUAGCGGAGAAAUUCCAAUCGAACCUGGAGAUAGCUGGUUCUCUCCGAAAUAGCUUUAGGGCUAGCCUCAAGUGAUGAUUAUUGGAGGUAGAGCACUGUUUGGACGAGGGGCCCCUCUCGGGUUACCGAAUUCAGACAAACUCCGAAUGCCAAUUAAUUUAACUUGGGAGUCAGAACAUGGGUGAUAAGGUCCGUGUUCGAAAGGGAAACAGCCCAGACCACCAGCUAAGGUCCCAAAAUAUAUGUUAAGUGGAAAAGGAUGUGGCGUUGCCCAGACAACUAGGAUGUUGGCUUAGAAGCAGCCAUCAUUUAAAGAGUGCGUAAUAGCUCACUAGUCGAGUGACACUGCGCCGAAAAUGUACCGGGGCUAAACAUAUUACCGAAGCUGUGGAUUGUCCUUUGGACAAUGGUAGGAGAGCGUUCUAAGGGCGUUGAAGCAUGAUCGUAAGGACAUGUGGAGCGCUUAGAAGUGAGAAUGCCGGUGUGAGUAGCGAAAGACGGGUGAGAAUCCCGUCCACCGAUUGACUAAGGUUUCCAGAGGAAGGCUCGUCCGCUCUGGGUUAGUCGGGUCCUAAGCUGAGGCCGACAGGCGUAGGCGAUGGAUAACAGGUUGAUAUUCCUGUACCACCUAUAAUCGUUUUAAUCGAUGGGGGGACGCAGUAGGAUAGGCGAAGCGUGCGAUUGGAUUGCACGUCUAAGCAGUAAGGCUGAGUAUUAGGCAAAUCCGGUACUCGUUAAGGCUGAGCUGUGAUGGGGAGAAGACAUUGAGUCUUCGAGUCGUUGAUUUCACACUGCCGAGAAAAGCCUCUAGAUAGAAAAUAGGUGCCCGUACCGCAAACCGACACAGGUAGUCAAGAUGAGAAUUCUAAGGUGAGCGAGCGAACUCUCGUUAAGGAACUCGGCAAAAUGACCCCGUAACUUCGGGAGAAGGGGUGCUCUUUAGGGUUAACGCCCAGAAGAGCCGCAGUGAAUAGGCCCAAGCGACUGUUUAUCAAAAACACAGGUCUCUGCUAAACCGUAAGGUGAUGUAUAGGGGCUGACGCCUGCCCGGUGCUGGAAGGUUAAGAGGAGUGGUUAGCUUCUGCGAAGCUACGAAUCGAAGCCCCAGUAAACGGCGGCCGUAACUAUAACGGUCCUAAGGUAGCGAAAUUCCUUGUCGGGUAAGUUCCGACCCGCACGAAAGGCGUAACGAUUUGGGCACUGUCUCAACGAGAGACUCGGUGAAAUCAUAGUACCUGUGAAGAUGCAGGUUACCCGCGACAGGACGGAAAGACCCCGUGGAGCUUUACUGUAGCCUGAUAUUGAAAUUCGGCACAGCUUGUACAGGAUAGGUAGGAGCCUUUGAAACGUGAGCGCUAGCUUACGUGGAGGCGCUGGUGGGAUACUACCCUAGCUGUGUUGGCUUUCUAACCCGCACCACUUAUCGUGGUGGGAGACAGUGUCAGGCGGGCAGUUUGACUGGGGCGGUCGCCUCCUAAAAGGUAACGGAGGCGCUCAAAGGUUCCCUCAGAAUGGUUGGAAAUCAUUCAUAGAGUGUAAAGGCAUAAGGGAGCUUGACUGCGAGACCUACAAGUCGAGCAGGGUCGAAAGACGGACUUAGUGAUCCGGUGGUUCCGCAUGGAAGGGCCAUCGCUCAACGGAUAAAAGCUACCCCGGGGAUAACAGGCUUAUCUCCCCCAAGAGUUCACAUCGACGGGGAGGUUUGGCACCUCGAUGUCGGCUCAUCGCAUCCUGGGGCUGUAGUCGGUCCCAAGGGUUGGGCUGUUCGCCCAUUAAAGCGGUACGCGAGCUGGGUUCAGAACGUCGUGAGACAGUUCGGUCCCUAUCCGUCGUGGGCGUAGGAAAUUUGAGAGGAGCUGUCCUUAGUACGAGAGGACCGGGAUGGACAUACCUCUGGUGUACCAGUUGUCGUGCCAACGGCAUAGCUGGGUAGCUAUGUGUGGACGGGAUAAGUGCUGAAAGCAUCUAAGCAUGAAGCCCCCCUCAAGAUGAGAUUUCCCAACUUCGGUUAUAAGAUCCCUCAAAGAUGAUGAGGUUAAUAGGUUCGAGGUGGAAGCAUGGUGACAUGUGGAGCUGACGAAUACUAAUCGAUCGAAGACUUAAUCAA
RNAcentral lists this ribosomal RNA (2256 nucleotides) under Staphylococcus aureus. RNAcentral's name for it is "partial 23S ribosomal RNA". It matches the Rfam family "Bacterial large subunit ribosomal RNA", at positions 666 to 2925 of the family's 2925-position model. RNAcentral also lists the same sequence under 1 other name. Lineage: Bacteria; Bacillati; Bacillota; Bacilli; Caryophanales; Staphylococcaceae. The record is from RNAcentral.